This 1474-nucleotide long non-coding RNA is filed under the name Gopherus agassizii (Agassiz's desert tortoise). RNAcentral describes it as "lncRNA (ENSGAGG00000014975.1)". Lineage: Eukaryota; Metazoa; Chordata; Testudines; Testudinidae. The record is from RNAcentral.
UGUGGGUGACAUAGCAUAUAAAAACACAAGUAGUCCCCCACACAUCAUAUUAACAGUGAAUGCAAAAAUGGUGUGUGUCGCAGUGCAUAGUGGUUUCAGAUCAUCUCUGUGCUCAUUCAUUUUUUUAAAGGUUAUGUUAUUUUAAACAGUUAAACACAACAGAUUGUAUUUAGCUUGCCUUGCUUCAAACCGCUGUUCAAUACUGGGAAUGAUCUGUCUUGGUCUUGGUCCUUUUUUUCUUUGGAACUACAAUAUUUCCUGAGCUCCAGACAUGAAAAUAUUUCUACAUCUUUGCAACUAAAAAUCAGUCCAACUUCCAAAUUCUUUCAUUUUGUUGAUGGACCUCAUCCACAUGGAUGUUUUUAAGUCGUACGCCGGUCAUCCUUGCUUUCUCCUAGCUGCACCGGAGAAUGGUGACAGCACAUUUACUAAAGUUUCUAAGCAGCUAGGAGAAGUGCAGAGUACACCCAAGCGAUGGAGAUGCUAUGAGGGAACCUGCCAAACGUCUACGCAAGUGACCCUCCGCUGGAGUUUGUAUCUAAAUUCCCCAAGAACCCACAAGUAUUUAGAUUGGAGCAACAGCGUGAUUGUAAGGGAUGUACCGACAGCUCUGUGGCUGAAUUAAGUUCCUGCGUUAGCGACUAGUGAAUGCAUUAAGAUUACAAUUAAUUUUUUGAACUGUUGAUACAUAAGUGUGAGGCUUUUGUUAUCAUGNGAUUGUAAGGGAUGUACCGACAGCUCUGUGGCUGAAUUAAGUUCCUGCUUUAGCGACUAGUGAAUGCAUUAAGAUUACAAUUUUUUGAACUGUUGAUACAUAAGUGUGAGGCUUUUGUUAUCAUAUGAAGCCUAAGACAUGGGCUGUGAGAUGAACUGAAUCUGUCUUAGUUAACAACUGGCAUGUUUUUAAAGCCUUUUGAAGCACAGUACGAGAUUUAAGACAGCCCUCCGAUCAAAGAAUCGGGAUUAUAUAUUGGAAAUGAAAGUAGGCGUCUUUCUUGCCCCUUCUCUCCAGCAUUUUAGCCCAUUUAGUCUCUUUUCUCCCUGAGAGAAUAAUGUCAGAUAUUGCCUUGAGCCACCUGAAAUGAGUUUGAACACCACAAAGUCUUUCCUAGAAAAAACCAAAACCAAGAUGGACAAUGUGCAAACUGUGGAUCUGCCAGUGGGCGAGUAUUCUUUGAGAAAUGGCUGCCUGUGACUUUGUACUUUAAUACUGCCGAAAAGCCCCUUGUCAUGCAUCGAAAGGGCAUUUGAGGGAUUGUAAUGAGGAAGCUAUAAAUCAAAAAGUGACCAAGGAAGUAUUCUCGUUUCCUGUGUAUCUGACGACUGACACAGUUAAAUCUGACUUACUCCAUAAUGGCAAUAAGCUAGUUUCAGUCCUGAUGCAAGUUCUGCUACGCAAGUGUGAGCUGUGUGGCUCAAAGCUUGUCUCUCUCACCAGCAGAUAUUGUCCCAAUAAAAGAUAUUACCUCACCCA